Molecule: ribosomal RNA, 253 nt
Filed under: uncultured bacterium
Lineage: Bacteria
Description: partial 16S ribosomal RNA
Rfam family: Bacterial small subunit ribosomal RNA
Source: RNAcentral
CACGUAGGGCGCAAGCGUUGUCCGGAAUCACUGGGCGUAAAGGGCGCGUAGGCGGCGCGGGAAGUCAUCGGUGAAAGUUCAGGGCUCAACUCUGAAUCGGCCGGUGAUACUCUCGUGCUUGAGCACUGUAGAGGCAGGUGGAAUUCCGGGUGUAGCGGUGGAAUGCGCAGAUAUCAGGAGGAACACCGGUGGCGAAGGCGGGUCUCUGGGCAAUAACUGACGCUGAGGAGCGAAAGCGUGGGGAGCGAACAGG